GAUGAACGCUGGCGGCGUGCUUAACACAUGCAAGUCGAACGGAAAGGCCAGUGCUUGCACUGGUACUCGAGUGGCGAACGGGUGAGUAACACGUGGGUGAUCUGCCCUGUACUUCGGGAUAAGCUUGGGAAACUGGGUCUAAUACCGGAUAGGACAACUUUUUGGAUAUUGUUGUGGAAAGCUUUUGCGGUAUGGGAUGAGCUCGCGGCCUAUCAGCUUGUUGGUGGGGUAAUGGCCUACCAAGGCGUCGACGGGUAGCCGGCCUGAGAGGGUGUACGGCCACAUUGGGACUGAGAUACGGCCCAGACUCCUACGGGAGGCAGCAGUGGGGAAUAUUGCACAAUGGGCGCAAGCCUGAUGCAGCGACGCCGCGUGGGGGAUGAAGGCCUUCGGGUUGUAAACUCCUUUCGCUAGGGACGAAGCUUUUUUGUGAUGGUACCUGGAGAAGAAGCACCGGCUAACUACGUG
This 468-nucleotide ribosomal RNA is filed under the name uncultured bacterium. RNAcentral describes it as "partial 16S ribosomal RNA". It matches the Rfam family "Bacterial small subunit ribosomal RNA", at positions 28 to 507 of the family's 1533-position model. The record is from RNAcentral.